GAUGAACGCUGGCGGCGUGCCUAACACAUGCAAGUCGAACGAAAGGACGAGAAGCUUGCUUCUUUGAUGUUAGCGGCGGACGGGUGAGUAACACGUGGAUAACCUCCUUAUAAUACUGGGAUAAUCACGGGAAACCGGAUCUAAUACCAGAGAAUAUUUUGCACCGCAUGGUUCAAAAGUGAAAUACGGUCUUGCUGUCUCUUAUAGCUGGAUCCGCGCUGGAUUGUCUGGUUGGUAGGGUAACGGCCUACCAAGGCAACGAUGCGUAGCCGACCUGAGAGGGUGAUCGGCCACACUGGAACGGAGACACGGUCCAGACUCCUACGGGAGGGAGCAGUCGGGAAUCUUAGGCAAUGGGCGAGAGCCUGACGGAGCAAGGCCGCGUGAGUGAUGAAGGCCUUCGGAUCGGAAAGCCCUGUUAUUGGGUAAGAACAGAUGUGGAAUGAGACGUGGAGAUAUUGACGGUACCUGAUAAAGAAGCACCGGCUAACUACGUG
This 497-nucleotide ribosomal RNA is filed under the name uncultured bacterium. RNAcentral describes it as "partial 16S ribosomal RNA". It matches the Rfam family "Bacterial small subunit ribosomal RNA", at positions 28 to 507 of the family's 1533-position model. The record is from RNAcentral.